UAUGAGGAAGUUUAGCUUGCUAAAUGGACUCAUGGCGGACGGGUGAGUAACGCGUAAAGAACUUGCCCUUUAGACUGGGAUAACAGAGGGAAACUUCUGAUAAUACUGGAUAAGUUAGUAUAUCGCAUGAUAUGCAAAUGAAAGCUACGGCACUAAAGGAGAGCUUUGCGUCCUAUUAGCUAGUUGGUAAGGUAAGAGCUUACCAAGGCGAUGAUAGGUAGCCGGCCUGAGAGGGUGGACGGCCACAAGGGGACUGAGAUACGGCCCUUACUCC
Molecule: ribosomal RNA, 274 nt
Filed under: uncultured Sneathia sp.
Lineage: Bacteria; Fusobacteriati; Fusobacteriota; Fusobacteriia; Fusobacteriales; Leptotrichiaceae
Description: partial 16S ribosomal RNA
Rfam family: Bacterial small subunit ribosomal RNA
Source: RNAcentral